GCCUGGCUCAGUGGGUAGAGCAUGGGACUCUUGAUCUCAUUGGUUGUGAGCUCAAGCCCCACUUUGGGCA
RNAcentral lists this transfer RNA (70 nucleotides) under Canis lupus familiaris (dog). It matches the Rfam family "tRNA". From Rfam's summary of the family: Transfer RNA (tRNA) molecules are approximately 80 nucleotides in length. Their secondary structure includes four short double-helical elements and three loops (D, anti-codon, and T loops). Further hydrogen bonds mediate the characteristic L-shaped molecular structure. tRNAs have two regions of fundamental functional importance: the anti-codon, which is responsible for specific mRNA codon recognition, and the 3' end, to which the tRNAs corresponding amino acid is attached (by aminoacyl-tRNA synthetases). tRNAs cope with the degeneracy of the genetic code in two manners: having more than one tRNA (with a specific anti-codon) for a particular amino acid; and 'wobble' base-pairing, i.e. permitting non-standard base-pairing at the 3rd anti-codon position. RNAcentral also lists the same sequence under 1 other name. The record is from Rfam by way of RNAcentral. Lineage: Eukaryota; Metazoa; Chordata; Mammalia; Carnivora; Canidae.